Molecule: ribosomal RNA, 435 nt
Filed under: uncultured bacterium
Lineage: Bacteria
Description: bacterial SSU rRNA
Rfam family: Bacterial small subunit ribosomal RNA
Source: RNAcentral
UCGAGGAUCUUCGGCAAUGUGCGCAAGCACGACCGAGCGACGCCGCGUGGGCGACGAAGGCCUUCGGGUUGUAAAGCCCUGUCGAGGGGGAGAAAAGCCGGAAAGGGUGUGAUCUAUCCCUGGAGGAAGCUCGGGCUAAGUUCGUGCCAGCAGCCGCGGUAAGACGAACCGAGCGAACGUUGUUCGGAAUCACUGGGCUUAAAGGGCGCGUAGGCGGGCUGCCAAGUUUGGGGUGAAAUCCUCCGGCUCAACCGGGGAAGUGCCUUGAAUACUGGCGGUCUGGAGGGAGGUAGGGGCGUGCGGAACUGUGGGUGGAGCGGUGAAAUGCGUUGAUAUCCACAGGAACUCCGGUGGCGAAGGCGGCACGCUGGACCUUUUCUGACGCUGAGGCGCGAAAGCCAGGGGAGCGAACGGGAUUAGAUACCCCCGUAGUCC